This 465-nucleotide ribosomal RNA is filed under the name uncultured bacterium. Its description in RNAcentral is "partial 16S ribosomal RNA". It matches the Rfam family "Bacterial small subunit ribosomal RNA", at positions 338 to 795 of the family's 1533-position model. The record is from RNAcentral.
CCUACGGGAGGCAGCAGUAGGGAAUUUUCCACAAUGGGCGAAAGCCUGAUGGAGCAACGCCGCGUGGGUGAAGAAGGUCUUCGGAUCGUAAAACCCUGUUGUUAGAGAGGAAAGUGCGUGAGAGUACCUGUUCACGUUUCGACGGUAUCUAACCAGAAAGCCCCGGCUAACUACGUGCCAGCAGCCGCGGUAAGACGUAGGUGGCAAGCGUUAUCCGGAUUUAUUGGGCGUAAAGGGCACGCAGGCGGUCUGUUAAGUCUGAUGUGAAAGCCUUCGGCUUAACCGGAGUAGUGCAUUGGAAACUGGGAGACUGGAGUGCAGAAGAGGAGAGUGGAACUCCAGGUGUAGCGGUGAAAUGCGUAGAUAUAGGGAAGAACACCAGUGGCGAAAGCGGCUCGCUGGGCUGUAACUGACGCUGAGGUUCGAAAGCGUGGGUAGCAAACAGGAUUAGAUACCCUUGUAGUC